UGGUAACGCGCGGCGAGCAGCGGGGGUGAUCCGGAGGGUGAGAGCGGUAAUCGGAUGUACUGGGCGUAAGGCGGGUGUAGGGGGCGACCUAAGUCGUGUGGGAGAGCCCGGGGCUGAACCGGGGAAUUGCAGUCGAUACUGGGCAGCUCGAGUUCGGUAGAGGGUGACGGAAUUCCCGGUGUAGCGGUGAAAUGCGUAGAUAUCGGGAGGAACAUCGAUGGCGAAGGCAAUCACCUGGGCCUGAACUGACACUGUGACACGAAAGCGUGGGUAGCAAACAGGAUUAGAUACCCCGGUAGUC
RNAcentral lists this ribosomal RNA (301 nucleotides) under uncultured Bacillus sp. Its description in RNAcentral is "bacterial SSU rRNA". It matches the Rfam family "Bacterial small subunit ribosomal RNA", at positions 495 to 795 of the family's 1533-position model. The record is from RNAcentral. Lineage: Bacteria; Bacillati; Bacillota; Bacilli; Caryophanales; Bacillaceae.